GCCUCCGCGGAGAAGGGGCCGCUCCCGCGGGCGCGCUCCGCCCCGCGCCGCCGCUGCGGAGCUCCGAACGAGGGCCCGCGGAGCCCCGCGCGGCCUUCCCGGCAACGGGCCCUGCCCGCCUCGGCUGGCCUUCCCUUGGCUGCGUGGGUUUUAUUUUGGUUUUUUAAUAGUUUACAGGUCAUUUUAUUUCUUGCCAUAUUCUGGUUAUUUACGUCAAUAUAAUAUUCUUUACCUUUACGGCAGAGCUUAUACUUUUCAGGGGCCACUCUCAAAAACACUUUGAUCCCCCUCCAGCACCUCCAUUGAAAGGGAUCUGGUGAGCGGAUUUGGGCGUCGCAGUGCUGCAUCCUAAGAGACCGAAGGUUUUAGUUUGCUCUUACCGAGCAGUGAGUUUGAAGUGCUGCAACUGCAUCGUGUGGCUUGAAACACCUUUUGCAGUAGAGUGGUCCACUGCCAUACGUGCUGCAAAAUGCUGUACAACUACUUUUGCACAUGAUUAAAAGACGAAGGAAGUAAACUGCUAAAAAUUUAAAAUGAGGGAUUUUCAAAAUAGUUUCAUUCUCUGUAGUGUGACGUGUUUUGCAAAGGAAUUUAAGCCUAUUAAUAUAAGUACAGUAAAUAAGAUUAUUGUACGUUUGAAUGUCAUUCCUACCUACAUCAUAGACAUUUCCUGUAAUUAGAAAGCUAAAACUACACACUGAACAAAAAGGCAAUAGCAGUCAUGCUCAGUUAAAACUUGCCGAAUGCCGACAUUUUUAUUGGUCAAUGUUGUAAUAGCACGCCUAGAAAGUGUUAUUUUUAUUGGCACAGGUUUUAUUCAGAACACAAGAACAGUAGUUCUUUUGUCUCUGUUUCUGAUCUCUAGGGCAGCUUAGCCUUUCUGUCUUACCAUAUUACAUUUCUGUUAACUGCAACUUGUUCCAGCUCAGCCGAGACUUACAUACGCAUCCUUUGCCUGUGCUUGUCCUUCAGAGGUCAGGAAGACUUAUGAUAUGCUUAAAGUUAAGGACACAAGGUAGUAGAAGGACUGAGUCUACAUUCUUCCAAUUUAGAAACUUGGUCUUCUUUAACUUUUCACCAGUGCAGAAGCAGCAGAAUUAGGGCAGUGUUCUGAGACCUGUAUCUGUUAAGUGACCUUGCUCCUGUUGCAUGAUGCUAGAACGGUUGCCUUUGCUUUUUUCAUGAAGAAAAGUUUCAGAUAAAGAAAUAUUAUUUUCUUCUGAAGACCAAAAUUGUUGAAAUCAAAUAAAUAUUUCAUUCUUUUCACAUGGAAUGCAGUUUCUGGUUCAGGUGUCUGGCAAGAUAUAUAGUUAUUUGUGGACAAUAUGAAGUUAUAGAAAUACAGAUAAAUUUAGAACAAAAUCAAAAUUUUAAAUAUUGUACUUAAAUAUGAAUAAUGGAUUUAAAGUACUAUUAAGCAGGCAUACAAAACUUAAAUGCUGGAAAUAUCUUUCAGAUACAUAGUUAUUUCUAAAAGGAAAAAUAUAAAUACUUCUAUGCCAUGUUGCAUGAAUUGCCCAAUUUCGUAUAUCGUUUUUUUUUUUUACUCAAAGAAGUACAUUGAAUAAUGUAUUACAGCUUCAACCAGGAAUCAGGAUCUUUUUUUAUUCUGAUACAAUAUUUAAAAGUUUGCUAGUGAUUUUUGUUCCUUGUUAUGCGAUUUCUUCCCACCAGAACAAAUCUGAAAAAUAAUGCUGACUAGAUAAUUUCUCCUUCAUUGAUUAUAUACUUCUUACAGUAUAUGUAUAUUCAUUGACUGAUUAAUACUUUUUUUCAGUUCCUGUGCUGAUGGGCAUUCAAAUUAUUUUCUACAAUCUCUUUGUCAGAGAGUACUCCAUUGAAAUACAACACACCCACUGUCAUGAUACAGCUUGACCUGGUUGCUACAUACUUCACCUAACUGAAUGGGAGUCCUCUGUGAAAUGUCAUCUACAGCAACAGCUCCAGGGUUGCUCCUGCUCGAGUGCUGUGGACAAAUCUGAGCACUUUUGGCUGCAGAAAGGUCAGCUUAUUAGCCAGCUUUUAGGAUUAGAGGUUCUCGUCUGCGAAAAGCAGUAUCUAGGAACACCCACAGGAUAAGGGCUGGCUAAGCAAUGCUACUUUGAAGACAGAAUGGAGUGACUCUUCCAGUGGUUUUUGACACCACAGUGCAGAGAAGCAGACAAGUAAUUCACCUUGCUGUAUGUUCUUCCUAAACAAAGUAUUAAUUGUCUAAGGUUUUCCCCCUUGCUGUCUUGCCUAGUCUGAACUAUCAUUGGGCUAGGUUUUUCACUGGCAGGAAGCACAAGUGGUUUAUUAGUAGACUAGUACUGGUCAAGAAACAUUAAGUUUUUCUUGGAAACUGUUUCUGACUUACUGUCUACUGAUAAGAGAAUUUUAUUUUAGGAACCUGAAAACAAAACAUCUAUAGCUAGUGUUCACUAGGGAUGAAACUUUAGAGGAGACUGUCACAGCAACCCCUCAUAUGUUGUUAUUGUCACAGAUACAUCUCACUUUAUUCAAAUUAAAGCUAUAAUGAAAUGCUGUGAAUUUUCCACCUGAUUCCCUAUUAAGCAGUAUUACUGUCACUUCUGAUAUACCAGCAAAUGAUCAUAGAUCCCUCCACCACUCCUGAAAUUGCAAGAAUUCCCUUUGAUACUGCUGUGGCAGUCUUGAGGGGAAAAAUCUCUUUGGAAAUUCCAAUUAGUAGCUGACAUUCAUUAGUAGAAAAAUCUGCUAUGAUUCCUAUGCAUUUGAUAAUCCUGUUUCAUGGCAAUAUGUGCAUCACUGGACUGAUACCUCUGUCAGUCAGCUGAGGGUGACUCCUGCACCUUGGAACAUACCAGGUCAGACUCAGAUUUAUUCUAGUCUAAGCAAUGAUAACAGAAAAUCUACUAUUUCAGCUGCAGUGCUACACUCUAUAGUAUCCAGUGAGAACCCACCACAUUCCAGCUGUGUGAUGCUUUUGCACAGUUUUGAUCAAUUCUGGUUUGUUGCAGUCAACAGAAAGUUGUCUGCAAAUAAUUUUUGCAUAGCAUUUAAAUAGUACAUUCCAUGAUGUACUCAUAUGUGUAUAUAUGCAAUUGAGGUUAGACAGAGACAGGAUCUUUUGUCACACAAACCCAUUAAACUUCUUGCGUAAACAGUGGAAACAUACAAAGUAAACAUGCAUGCAGGCCACAUGCUUCAUCACAAAGACAAUUAACUGGAAAAAAAGUAUUGGUUCUUGUAGAGAAAUGGCAUAAAAAAAACAAUCAGAAAGGAGACAAGGGACACAGGAAGGAGGAGUGCUGAAAGUGGGGCUCUGGUUUAUGGCUUAACAUAUGUUUGGCUCUUUUUGCUUGGCUAAACAUGAGAGCUUGCAUGCCAAGCAAUGCCUAAAAAGGAUAAGUGGAAUUAAAACCAAAACUGCUCUGUGGUCUUGCUUAUUUCUUCAGGAAAAAAGAGAAUUAUGCAAGUUCCUUGUAAGACUGCAUCACAAACACCUGAUAUCUAAAGGCCAAAAUCCUUUUGUAACUGAAAGAAGGUAGUAUCUGCAAAAUUAAAAUUAUAAAAUUUUAAAUGAGUAGUAUCAUUCAUGUGAUCCAACUCAUUGUUUUAUUGGAAUCUUUUUGGCUUCUGCAAUACAAAGACCUGUUGAAAAUGGUACUUUUCCACAUGUGGCUACAAGACUUGAUCAAGAAAUGUCAAAUCACAAUUAUGGCAGUUCCCAAUGGCUCGGUUGUGAGUUACUGCAACAAGACAUUCUAAGAAAUCUAGGACUAAGCUGCACUAAGCUUUAAUUUUUAGCUUUUAACAGCUUUCCUUGGUGCUCUUGCAAUUUGAGUAUGUUUCUUAAAAGUUUUUGAGCAAAGUAGGUUUUCAACAGAUUAUCUUCUUAACAUUAAAAAAAUGUUGGUACAUUGCUAUAUAUGACAGAAAACAAAAAAGUAGCCACAAAUACCUUUUGUAGCAACUAACUUCCUUCAGCAAUAUAUUUGGCCAUUUUGAUAGCAAACGUGACUUGACUUGCGUUUAAAUGGUUUAAGUUUCCUAAGAAUCUAUGAUUUUCCAGAAGCUGCCUUGGGAAACAAACCAAACCAAACCCACCAGUAAACUUGGAAGUGUAAAGCAACAUGAUAAAAAAUACUAAUGAGAUAAAGAUGAGUAACUGCCAAAUCUAAGAUAAGUCUCUUUUAACACAACCAGCAACUACAGAUUUAACUUCAAUGAAGAGGUGGAACACAGGACUUCUGGUUCUCCAGGGAAAUGGAAGGCAUCUCAACCAUAUUCUCACAGUUCACACAUUUCAGCAUUUGGCACAAAACAGGCAUUUACACAUAAAAAAAUCUCCCUGUUCCUACUUAUUUACUCAUUGUGCUACUCACAACAGAGGAAGACCUGCAAUGUCAAGUCACAGACCUUGAUGCAACCAACCUAAACAUUUAUUAUUCCUUUCCUUGAGGCAGCAUACAACAACUUUUUUCUGAUACAAGUCCUUUAAGUUCCUUUGCUAUUGGAUAAAAUAACAAAGACAAAUAUUAAGUGAAGAAAAUUAGCUUUAUUUAUGUAAAUUAGAAAAAAGAAUUGUUAGAACUUUGGUCAAAUUGUUAAUUCUGUACAAUUUACAAUUAUAUUUACAUACAAAACUUCUAAUAAAAUACAGUACAUCACA
Taeniopygia guttata (zebra finch) is the source of this 4633-nucleotide long non-coding RNA. RefSeq lists it as uncharacterized. The record is from RefSeq and is a predicted model, not a curated record. Lineage: Eukaryota; Metazoa; Chordata; Aves; Passeriformes; Estrildidae.